ACCAGUACCGUGAGGGAAAGGCGAAAAGAACCCCGGCGAGGGGAGUGAAAAAGAACCUGAAACCGUGUACGUACAAGCAGUGGGAGCACGCUUAGGCGUGUGACUGCGUACCUUUUGUAUAAUGGGUCAGCGACUUAUAUUCUGUAGCAAGGUUAACCGAAUAGGGGAGCCGAAGGGAAACCGAGUCUUAACUGGGCGUUAAGUUGCAGGGUAUAGACCCGAAACCCGGUGAUCUAGCCAUGGGCAGGUUGAAGGUUGGGUAACACUAACUGGAGGACCGAACCGACUAAUGUUGAAAAAUUAGCGGAUGACUUGUGGCUGGGGGUGAAAGGCCAAUCAAACCGGGAGAUAGCUGGUUCUCCCCGAAAGCUAUUUAGGUAGCGCCUCGUGAAUUCAUCUCCGGGGGUAGAGCACUGUUUCGGCAAGGGGGUCAUCCCGACUUACCAACCCGAUGCAAACUGCGAAUACCGGAGAAUGUUAUCACGGGAGACACACGGCGGGUGCUAACGUCCGUCGUGAAGAGGGAAACAACCCAGACCGCCAGCUAAGGUCCCAAAGUCAUGGUUAAGUGGGAAACGAUGUGGGAAGGCCCAGACAGCCAGGAUGUUGGCUUAGAAGCAGCCAUCAUUUAAAGAAAGCGUAAUAGCUCACUGGUCGAGUCGGCCUGCGCGGAAGAUGUAACGGGGCUAAACCAUGCAC
This 699-nucleotide ribosomal RNA is filed under the name Escherichia coli. RNAcentral's name for it is "partial 23S ribosomal RNA". It matches the Rfam family "Bacterial large subunit ribosomal RNA", at positions 494 to 1194 of the family's 2925-position model. Lineage: Bacteria; Pseudomonadati; Pseudomonadota; Gammaproteobacteria; Enterobacterales; Enterobacteriaceae. The record is from RNAcentral.